Molecule: small RNA, 148 nt
Filed under: Macaca mulatta (Rhesus monkey)
Lineage: Eukaryota; Metazoa; Chordata; Mammalia; Primates; Cercopithecidae
Description: Metazoan signal recognition particle RNA (ENSMMUG00000061145.1)
Source: Rfam by way of RNAcentral
GCUGGGCGUGGUGGCGGGCGCCUGUAGUCCCAGCUACCCGGGAGGCUGAGGCAGAAGAAUCACUUGAACCCGGGAGGCAGAGGUUGCAGUGAGCCGAGAUCGCACCACUGCACUCCAGCCUGGGCGACAGAGUGAGACUCUGUCUCAC